This is a long non-coding RNA of Xiphophorus couchianus (Monterrey platyfish), 844 nucleotides long. RefSeq lists it as uncharacterized. The transcript is spliced from 3 exons. The record is from RefSeq and is a predicted model, not a curated record. NCBI's taxonomy places the organism in Eukaryota, Metazoa, Chordata, Actinopteri, Cyprinodontiformes, Poeciliidae.
UCUCAGGACUUCCGGUUUGCCACAUCGGAGAGGCUGGCGCACAGGAGUGGUCCUAUUUUUUACUUUUGUUCAGUUUUUAUCGGUCCAUAGUGACUGUACCCACUCAGCAUAAUAUAACAGUAGUGCAAUUAUGAACGGAGAGAUUACACAGCCUUGGCUUUUUACGGUAAUAGUUUCCUGCAAUGGACGGCAACGCUGACAGUAUGGUGGCUGCGGUGUUGCUAUGACAUGUUCUGCAGGGAAACGGCCAUCUUUACAAAGGGAAAAGGAACCAGCUUGAACAGCUUCAACCAGUGGAGCUGCUAGUUUCCACUAGAGGGCAGUGCUGGGUCUAAUAAGCCCAUCAGCAAGAGAGCAAGAGAAGCUGACUGCCAGUUAUUUGAGUGUCAACCUAUCAGGUCUUUACAAGCUGUACUCACGGACAUGAAUUUUCUAUCUCUGAAGCCGCCGAAGGUGAUUAAUGAGACAAAAACCAGACAGACUGUGGAAUAAACCCGAGCGACGCCACCGUCCUUUGAAAUUCAGCUUUCUCCAGGUUGCAUCAGAAAGAUGUGAAGCAGAUAAAUGAACGACUUUUGUUCGAAUUGUCAAAAACUGUCACAGGCCUUGUCUGAUGGGUGCUGGGACCACCGACUGGGUGUGUUUGGCUCACACUCUGAUUUUGACUGAUUUCUUGGCAUUUUUGAGACAGAUGGGAUCAGAAAAUCAGCCCUGAAGUGAAGAAAGUCAAUGAAGCAACAAUGCCCUCGGCUUUGGAGACAAAAUAUUUACGUGUAAACUGUCAUGUUUUCAGACUUUUUGGUGUCGAUCACAUUAGAUUAAAGCCAACUCUGGUUCCACUUCA